GCAUCUACCGAUUGAAUGGAGAGGUAAAAUCUCCGGACUAUGUCGCGUUGGGGUCAAACCUAAUGCAGUCGUGGGAAGUGGAUUAAACCUUUCCAUUUAGAGGAAGAUGAAGUCGUAACAAGGUUUCCGUAGGUGAACCUGCAGAAGGAUCAUAUCUGUCUAGCGUCCUUUAGGGUAUGAUUGUAUUUCUCGGUUUUCUCCGUAUCUUUAUAUAUUUUUUUUCUUUUUUCCUCUUUUUUUUUCUUCUCUUUUCUUUUCUUUUUUUUUUUUUUUCUUU
This 277-nucleotide unclassified non-coding RNA is filed under the name sea anemone metagenome. RNAcentral describes it as "partial contains small subunit ribosomal RNA and internal transcribed spacer 1". The stretch from base 1 to 155 matches the Rfam family "Eukaryotic small subunit ribosomal RNA", at positions 1678 to 1831 of the family's 1831-position model. The record is from RNAcentral.